AGAGAUUUAAGUUAUAGAAGACUGUCUGUUUUCAAAACAGAAAGAAGUGAAUUUUGCUAGUCUUUG
This 66-nucleotide transfer RNA is filed under the name Hexostoma thynni. RNAcentral describes it as "tRNA-Trp". Lineage: Eukaryota; Metazoa; Platyhelminthes; Monogenea; Diclybothriidea; Hexostomatidae. The record is from RNAcentral.